This is a long non-coding RNA of Orbicella faveolata, 2032 nucleotides long. Lineage: Eukaryota; Metazoa; Cnidaria; Anthozoa; Scleractinia; Merulinidae. The record is from RefSeq and is a predicted model, not a curated record.
UUGACAACUAGUGUGCAUGUUUUACAAUGCCUCGUUCACUAGACUUAAAUUCUUCUUAACCUAUUCAUUUAUCACUGAAACCGGUUCAAAUUAGAUAUUCUGUCCGACAAACAGAGGCAAACGAGAACGCGCGAGAGGAAAAUGAACAGAUUAUUUGUCCCAAACUAGAUUUCCUAAACGAAGCCUUAAUUAACGCUAUCACAGCGUCUUGUUAUUUACAGGGGUUGUGUUAAUCUAUUCAGGAUAGACCGGAGGAAAUAGGACAUUCUUGUCGUGAAAUGUCUUUUCAGUGUUGCCGUUUUACCUCGGUUUCAAAAUGAGUUCUGGUAAAUAUGCAAUUAACUUUUGGUAUGGAAAUAAUCUAAAUUCAUUUGCAAGACAUCGUACAACUAAAAUUCAUUUCCAUAUGGUUAUGCAAUAGAACUCUUUGUGAAACAAAUGACCUAUUCAACUGAAACAAAAAUUCAGGUUCCUCGCGAUGAAGCUCUCACGUGCAAAUCUUAAGAUGUGAUUCUUUUCCCCUGGGUCGUGCAUCUUAUUUGCAUUUUAUUCUUUCGUUCCUCGUGGUCGAGAAGGCUUUUCUUCCUCGACGGAAGGAAUCUUCUUAACAAGUGAAGGAAGACGCCGUGAAAGCCGUCAGCAUGAAAGGAAUUGUGGAGUAUGUUUCAACGGGAAGACUUCAUAUGGACCAACUACUCAAUACCUGGUUUAUCCUGCUUCGAAGGAUGAACGAAAAUGUACGGACAGUUAAGUUGUGGGAAAUAGCGUGAGUAAACUCAAAGUAAGUUGCCGCACAAUUGUUAAAGCGAUGAAAACGAAUCGUUGGUUAAAGCUACUGACUCAAAUAAUGUCACUGAAAGCAUUAUAUUUAGUGGAUGUGAGGUUUUUCGAAGGGGCAUUUCUUGAGUAAAUUACUCUUACAUUUAUUUCCAGUAACGAAGUUCCUUUAAGGUGAACCAAAAAUAUCCAUCGUAUAGUAGAUUAGAACAGAACUCAAAGAAACUAGAAGAAGAAUUGUUGGCUUAGUAUUUUUGAAAAUUGCUCAUAAGAUAGUGAAUGCAUGCAGUAAAAUAUUUGAUGCCUAAGGUUACUUCUGGGUUGGCACUUUGUACCAUUGGCGCUGAAAACAUCGCUAAACAAAAUCAAUCAGGUUUAUUGGAAUGACAAGUGCUGUGGUGCUGUUCUUGAAUGACUCGCUUUUAAGCAGUUCACAAUUCGAACAUUUUUCCACGAGAUAUUAGCAAAUCCUUAGGGCUUAUCAAAAACAGAAUCGAAGGCUGAAUUAUGUUUCAAGUUUCUGUUUAUAUUGUAUAGCGUUUCUCUUGCGCAGAGAACAUAGAGCCUAAGAGAAUUUGUUCUGAUGACAUUUACUCAUCCAAGCAUUGCUAUUCUCUUUUUAAUUUUGUAAGCUGAAACACCAUUAAAACAACACUUUGAUAAGGCACGGCGGGAACAUACCACUCGUAGAGAUCUAGUACGCGAAGGUGAAGCACCGUUAAAGAAUCUUUAUAAGAGCAUGGAAAGAAGAAUGCGUGUUGAAAGAAUUCCAUAAAGUGUCUUCAACAAAGCUUACUGAAUACGGUGGAUCGAAAUCCAGAACACAGACUCCGCAGAGGAAAAGAGUUCAUAAAGAAGUCAGGAAUAUAAGACGAGAUAGUUACAGGUUAACAUAACUUAAGAUAAUGUUUUCCAGUCAUCAGAAAGAAUCUACCAAACUUUAGUCAAGGAAUAACUGUUCUCACAAAACCUGAGAGAAUCAAGUCGUAAAACUUAAACUUAAAAAAAAAACAAGGAAAGAAAUGGAACAUUGUCAGGAGACGAGAGAAUUAUUUUCUAAUACUCUAGCAUCCAAUUGUCUGACAUAAUAAAUUCAAUUUUUGUUUAGGUCAACCAUUGUUUCAGCUGCUGUCAUACUGAGGUAUUUUGGACUGAAAAACACUUCCAAAGACUGUUGAUAUCAAUCUCGCCUUCAUCGUUUUAACUUAGUGCCUUGCAAAAACGUUUGAAUUCGUGCAAAAUAUUCCUACUAAAU